UUUUCUAAUCUUUCUUUCCUUCUUUUCUCUUUUUGUGGUGAUGAAGAUAUUUAUUUGAUUAUACUGAAUUUGGCAAUAUAGAGUAUUCUGAUUUCAAUUGCAUGGCCUCAUGCGACCACUUGUCAAAACAAAUUUUAUCCUGGUCUAUCCACGGUAGUGUAAUAAACUAUACAUUGCAUUAUUGGUUCAACUGUCAUUGCCACAAGAAAAAGCAGUUCUGUUAUUUCAUUCUUUUGAAAGGGAAAAUUGGCAGAAGAAGUCACUAUACUUUAUGGCAAUUGUUGAUGGUUUUCUAAAGUGAUGCUGUUGUUUAACUACUCAUUUGCUCACUAAGUUUUCACUCAAAAUUUCCCCCUUACGAGGACUUUGGUGGAAGACUAACUGAAACAAAGGCCAUCAUCCUCUAUGAUGGCCAGUUAAGUUUUACGUAUUAGUGAAGCUGCAAUCGACUUUGUGAUCUACUGUUAUGUUAAAUCUUCAUACUGUCUAAAGAAUUCCGCAGAAACUAUUCACUUUCUUAUUGGUGGAAGUGACCCUUGUGAGGAAGACGAGAAGGAAGAGAGAACACUGCUUGAUUAUUUCCUGAAGCUAUUGGAACUUAAAUACUACUUUUACAUGUUGUCCUAGAAAGGAAAGAAAAUCAAUAUACAAUUACAACAUAAUUACAAGGGAGUAAACUAAGCUAUAUACUAUAUUUGUGAUAUUCUAGAAUAUUCAUACAAAUCCUAAAACACCCCCUUAAGCUGGUGCUUACAGAUCAUAUGCACCAAGCUUGCUGCAUAUAUAACUUGUUCUUGUACCGGCAAGGGACUUGGUGAAUAUAUCUGCAAGUUGUUCAUUUGACCUUAUGAACUUUGAGACAAUUUCUCUUGAGAGUAUCUUUUGCCUGACGAAAUGACAAUCAAUUUCUAUGUGUUGGUGCUCUCAUGAAACACUGGAUUUGAUGCAAUGUUAAGUUCAGCCUCAUUAACAGACACAAGUUCCUUUUUACCAAUCUCUCCAAAUUUUAAUUCUUUUAGUAGUUACUUGAUCAACAAGGACCAAGCAGCGUGGAACCCUGUACUCGACAAAGUUGAGUCUUGAUUGGUAGGAUGACAAAAAGAUUAUUUUGUCCAAAGAAUGAACGAAAGGCUUAUUAAGAGCACAUUAUCAAGUAUACCCACUUACUCCAUGUCCUUGUUUCAGGCUAUGUUGCUUGGACUCUUCGAAAAUAUCGAUGGGUGCGUAUAGGAUACUCUAAAAGUGGGCCAUUUUUGGAGGAUCUGACACGGGUACGACAACUUUUUUGCGGAGUCCGAGCAACAUAGGUUUCAGGUACCCGUCAUUGUUGUAGAAAUGAUGGAAAACUUCAAAGAAAUUUCUUAUUGUACUUGACAGAUAAGGCGAGAAAUUUUCACUGUGUAAGGUGGGAGAUUGUUAGGACUCCCAAGUGUUGGGGUGGGCUUGGCGUUAAAAAAUUGAGUCUUUAAUAACACCUUUUAUGAAAAUGGCAAUGGAGAUUUGGGAUGGAGUAGCAUGCUUUUUAAAGAGGUAAUAGCAGAAAAGUAUGAGGUAUUGGAAGGGGCUUGGAGGACAAAGUGUUUUCUUGCUAUAUAAUUGUAGUUUGUGGAGGAAUGUCAUGAAGGGGUGGGAAGAUUUCAGCGAAUUGGUGAUUUUUCGGGUUGGGGAUGGGAAGAGGGUCAAUUCUUAGGACCACAGGUGGUGUGGGUACAAUACUUUGAGGUUUGCGUUUCAAAACAUUUACAGGAUUUCACGCUAAAAGGAGAUGAUAGUCCAAUAAAUCCGAAAAUUACAAGAUGAAGAGGGUUUUUGGGACUUGAGUUUUAUGAGAUACUUUGAAGAUUGGGAAAUGACAUAGUUCCGAACUCUUGGAUUUGCUUCACAAACAAGCAACUUUACACGAUAUCCAAGAUUUUUUGUGUGUGUGGGGGGGGGGGGGGGGGGUUGGUGUUUGGACAAUGGCGUAUUUUCUGUGAAAUCAUUUUAUGAGAAGCUUCUAGUUAGAGAAGAGGUGGUUUCCCUACAUAGAUCGAUAUGGAUUCCAAAUAUACCUAAGAAAGCGUGCUUUGUUUGGUUAGCAACUAGAGGGUUAUUUUGAUGGCUGAGAACUUGAGAAAGAGGAAGGUGACAUACAUUAGUUGGUGCUUGAUGUGCAAGGGGUCGGGCAAGGAUGUCGAUCAUCUCCUCCUACAUUGCUAGGUAGCCUCAAGGCUAUGACAAGUAAUAUUGAGUUUGUUUGGUAUCUCGUGGGCGAUGCCAAAAAUGAUGGAAGAUGUUUUGUUCAGUUGGAAUUGGGGUAGGCGGAGGAGUGGACGCAGGGUUUGGAAUGUUGCUUCAUUGGCACUUAUGUAUGUUCUUUGGAGAGAGAAAUAUAAGAGCUUUUGAGGGAUAGAGAUGAUCUUUUUACAAUUGAAAGUAGCCUCUUAUACCUUUUUUCUUUCUGGUGCACCCAUGAAGUUCCUCUUUGUAUAGAUGAUUGGGUGUUAUUCAUAGGAAACCACAUUUUUUCUUGUGAGUCUCUCCUUUUUGGCAUACCUCUAGUAUAUGCAGGUUUUUAAGCCCAAAUUUUAAUAUAAAAUUUAUUACCAUAUCAAAAAAAUGUAUUAUUCCCAUCGAAAUACCAAUUUUACUAUCUUUUCAUCUCAAAGCUUCUUUGGUUCAUAAGGUGCACUCCUCUUUGUAGCAUAUCAGUUUAUACUAAUGAGAAUCUAAGUUGCGGGGACUCGGGUGCGGGUAUUCGACACGGAUGCAGAUCCGAGGGUCGGAUUCAGUGUGGUGACCCUACUAUAAGAAUAAUAUAGAUGCGUGUAGCUGGGUUCGAAGUCGAGUAUGAGAAGAAUAAAGGGGUAACUAACUUUCAAAUGAGCGGCUCAGAUUAAUUCUCAAUUAAGGACCGAUAAGGGCCAGGAUAAAGCCACGUGGCCCAGGUUGUGCUAUACAGAAAGAGAGAGAGGAAGGCAACGGCUAUCUGAUCAUCAUCGGCUAUGGAGAUUAUUCUAUCCUUGUUUUAGCUUAGUUUAAUUCAGCUAGUUUUACUCUUGUAUUUGAAUUCCAUUUUCCAGUUAUAUAAUCAGAAAAUUGUCCCAAAAAAGUGUGGAUUCGAUUUCAAUUUUGCAAUUAAACUGAGAUCCAUAUCUGGAUCUUGACAUUCAGCAAAAUCUAAAUUUUUGAGAUUCGGGGGUACGGAUCCAGUUAUGGAUACGGGUGCUGGGAUUUGGCUAAAAAAAAUCAAAAUUAUAAAAACAGAAAGAUAUUCUAAAUUUGUGAGAUAUUCUGUGGAAACCUUACAUAUAGUAGAAUUCGCAUAGCUAGGGUUUCAGAAGGGGAAGAGAAGUCCUAAGGCAUGAAAUGUUGCACCAUUAGCAAUUAUGUGGGUUAUUUGGAGAGCGUUGAAGGGGCUGAACAAGAUGUUGUAAAGUUGCAAACUAGUCUUUUGUUUCUAGUUUCCUUUUGGUGUUCCCAUGAGAACCCGACUUGUAUAGAAGAUUGGGUCUCUUCUUUAAAGAUAUUUUGAUGUAGGUUCUCUCUUUUGGUAUACGGCUUGUUCCCCUAAUUGUUAAUAAAAUUAUUUACCUUAUAAAAAAAUGUUAUAUAACUCAAUCUUUCAUUCCCCAAGAUGGGCGUUAAAAAACAUAAAUUAAGUGUCAAGAAAUCAAUAUGCUAAUAAUUAAUUUAGAAGUUAUCCCUCUUUUCUAUGAGAAAGAAAACAAUUAUAAAUAGCAAACUUGAUCUAGAGGAAAAGCUAACAAGGAUUGAAGGUAUGCCAUUCCUUAUGUCUUAAAUCUGUUUUAUCUUUUAUUUUGAGAAAUCAAAAUCUCAAUUCCACCCCCCCCCCCC
Lycium barbarum (goji berry) is the source of this 3837-nucleotide long non-coding RNA. RefSeq lists it as uncharacterized. Lineage: Eukaryota; Viridiplantae; Streptophyta; Magnoliopsida; Solanales; Solanaceae. The record is from RefSeq and is a predicted model, not a curated record. The transcript is spliced from 2 exons.